This 2071-nucleotide ribosomal RNA is filed under the name Glaesserella parasuis. Its description in RNAcentral is "partial 23S ribosomal RNA". It matches the Rfam family "Bacterial large subunit ribosomal RNA", at positions 991 to 2925 of the family's 2925-position model. The record is from RNAcentral. Lineage: Bacteria; Pseudomonadati; Pseudomonadota; Gammaproteobacteria; Pasteurellales; Pasteurellaceae.
GUGGGUGCUAACGUCCAUCGUGGAGAGGGAAACAACCCAGACCGCCAGCUAAGGUCCCAAAGUCUAUAUUAAGUGGGAAACGAAGUGGGAAGGCUUAGACAGCUAGGAUGUUGGCUUAGAAGCAGCCACCAUUUAAAGAAAGCGUAAUAGCUCACUAGUCGAGUCGGCCUGCGCGGAAGAUGUAACGGGGCUAAAAUAUAGCACCGAAGCUGCGGCAUCAGGCGUAUCACAAAUACGCCUUCGAUUAACAACAUCGAAUGAAGUGAAACGGAAUAAGAUGUUGGUCAAGCACCCAACACGUUGAGUUGGCAUAAAGUGCGGAUAGAAAUCAGAGGAAUAUUUGUGAUACGCCUGUUGGGUAGGGGAGCGUUGUGUAAGUCGAUGAAGGUGUAUUGAGAAGUAUGCUGGAGAUAUCACAAGUGCGAAUGCUGACAUAAGUAACGAUAAAACGAGUGAAAAACUCGUUCGCCGGAAGACCAAGGGUUCCUGUCCAACGUUAAUCGGGGCAGGGUGAGUCGGCCCCUAAGGCGAGGCUGAAAAGCGUAGUCGAUGGGAAACGGGUUAAUAUUCCCGUACUUGGUAAAGCUGCGAUGUGGGGACGGAGAAGGUUAGGUUAGCAGACUGUUGGAUGUCUGUUUAAGUUGGUAGGUGGGAAGUUUAGGCAAAUCCGGACUUCCAUAACACUGAGAGAUGAUGACGAGUUUCUACGGAAAUGAAGUAACUGAUACCACGCUUCCAGGAAAAGCCACUAAGCGAAAGGCUUUACUAAACCGUACUGAAAACCGACACAGGUGGUCAGGUAGAGAAUACUCAGGCGCUUGAGAGAACUCGGGUGAAGGAACUAGGCAAAAUAGCACCGUAACUUCGGGAGAAGGUGCGCUGGCGUAGGUUGUAAGAGUAUACCUCCGAAGGCUGAACCAGUCGAAGAUACCAGCUGGCUGCAACUGUUUAUUAAAAACACAGCACUCUGCAAACACGAAAGUGGACGUAUAGGGUGUGAUGCCUGCCCGGUGCUGGAAGGUUAAUUGAUGGUGUUAUCGAAAGAGAAGCUCCUGAUCGAAGCCCCAGUAAACGGCGGCCGUAACUAUAACGGUCCUAAGGUAGCGAAAUUCCUUGUCGGGUAAGUUCCGACCUGCACGAAUGGCAUAAUGAUGGCCAGGCUGUCUCCACCCGAGACUCAGUGAAAUUGAAAUCGCCGUGAAGAUGCGGUGUACCCGCGGCUAGACGGAAAGACCCCGUGAACCUUUACUAUAGCUUGACACUGAACAUUGAAUUUUGAUGUGUAGGAUAGGUGGGAGACUAAGAAGCAGGCACGCCAGUGCUUGUGGAGUCGACCUUGAAAUACCACCCUUUAACGUUUGAUGUUCUAACGAAGAUUACGAAACGUGGUCUCGGACAGUGUCUGGUGGGUAGUUUGACUGGGGCGGUCUCCUCCCAAAGCGUAACGGAGGAGCACGAAGGUUUGCUAAUCACGGUCGGACAUCGUGAGGUUAGUGCAAUGGUAUAAGCAAGCUUAACUGCGAGACAGACAAGUCGAGCAGGUGCGAAAGCAGGUCAUAGUGAUCCGGUGGUUCUGAAUGGAAGGGCCAUCGCUCAACGGAUAAAAGGUACUCCGGGGAUAACAGGCUGAUACCGCCCAAGAGUUCAUAUCGACGGCGGUGUUUGGCACCUCGAUGUCGGCUCAUCACAUCCUGGGGCUGAAGUAGGUCCCAAGGGUAUGGCUGUUCGCCAUUUAAAGUGGUACGCGAGCUGGGUUUAGAACGUCGUGAGACAGUUCGGUCCCUAUCUGCCGUGGGCGUUGGAGAAUUGAGAGGGGCUGCUCCUAGUACGAGAGGACCGGAGUGGACGCAUCACUGGUGUACCAGUUGUCUCGCCAGAGGCAUUGCUGGGUAGCUAAAUGCGGAAGAGAUAAGUGCUGAAAGCAUCUAAGCACGAAACUCGCCUUAAGAUGAGUUCUCCCUAGCUAUAAGCUAGUAAGGGUUGUUGAAGACUACGACGUAGAUAGGUCUGGUGUGUAAGCGGUGUGAGCCGUUGAGCUAACAGAUACUAAUUGCCCGAGAGGCUUAACUAU